GCCAGGAGAGGUUUCGUGUGGGAUGUUUCAAAGCUAAUACACGCACUCAUACUUCUUCUGUUGUCUCUUUCUCUCUCACUAUUACUGCUUUUAAUAGGAAACUACGUUUCCAAUAGAUAUAUUCUGUAAAAGAUGUCGAUUUUCUUAUUCGCAAGACAUAACUAUUUGUAAGGAAAAAUAAUGAAGGCGGAAUAGAAAAUUAUUAUAUGGAUAACUGCAAUUAGUGAUUAUUGGAGCUGACUCUUUUCAUCAAUUAAAAUGUUCCAGAGAAAAUAAUGUGAAAAUUGAAAAGUUGUUGAGCUCACAACUUUCCUAACAGAGGUCUGUUAAUUUCUUUAUAGCCUCAAGUGACUCUACUGAUUAUAAAGAAUUUAUGCCAAAAAAAAAAACCACGUGCCAUCAUUUAUUGUCUAAUCAAACUGAUGAUGGAAAUUUGGUGAAUAUUUUCAUGGUAUUUUGUAUUUCAAGAAGAGACUUACAUUUUGUUUCCGGCAACACAUAAUAAACAAAUGGCAAUGAUAAAAAAACCACAAUUGCACACAAUAAAAAUACAUAUUUUUCGCCAAUUAAAUAAAUCAAUGGCUG
Molecule: long non-coding RNA, 585 nt
Organism: Leptopilina boulardi
Lineage: Eukaryota; Metazoa; Arthropoda; Insecta; Hymenoptera; Figitidae
Exons: 4
Source: RefSeq, a predicted model, not a curated record